RNAcentral lists this long non-coding RNA (4220 nucleotides) under Triticum aestivum (bread wheat). Its description in RNAcentral is "long non-coding RNA (TAES_LNC010780)". Lineage: Eukaryota; Viridiplantae; Streptophyta; Magnoliopsida; Poales; Poaceae. The record is from RNAcentral.
GUGUUCACUUCUCCUUUGUUUAAUAUGUUUUUUUCCUGAUUUUAGUUCAAUUUCUUGGUCUAGUAAUUGGACUAGAUAUGCCAUGUUCAAAUUCACUACUACAUAUGUUAUUUUCUCACUCUCCGAUAGACUACAUGUCUAGUUUAAUCUUUACUAUUAUGGUCAUGUUUUAUCUACUAUUUUUAUGGAAUAAAUCAUAUGGUAAACUGCUCAUAUUUUCAACAUGCCCCAUGUACAUGUAUUGGUGUAACAAACACAUCCUAUGUGGUCGGUCUUCCUUCAUCAAAAUGUUCCAUGGCAAUCCAAUGAGAUUGAUGCCUCUAAUACCUAUGUUUAUAAGAAAAUAUAAGUUUAUUCAAUUAUUGGCAUCAGUAUACAGAAUUGCAUUGCAUAAGCUGAGAAACUUUGUGGCUCUCAUUUUGAUAUGGAACCGAAUUGUCUACAGCAGCACUGAAGAUGAUGCUGGUUGGUUUCGCAUUCCAAUUGAUAAGGUGGGCGAAAGCCUCUUUCUAAGCAGUCACUCUGGCACGACUCAUGAGUGCAACCCGCUAAAUCUCUGCAUGAGCGUCGUUGAACUACAAUGCAAUACAUCACAUAAUAAAACAAAUUAGUAAUACAGUCCAUAAAACAAAAAAAAUUGCUCAUAGAUUAAUUAAUUUCAACAUUUGGAAACAACAUGUAAAAUAUAAAUAAUGUUGCUUACUUGCUUGGCAGGACGACAACGUUGAGAACAUGAACACAAUGACCAAUAAAGCAACAGCUAUGUUGUACACGACCAUCAUUGUGUUUCUCUUGAUGAGUGCCAUGAGGAAAAAUGUGACUUAUGUUCGAUCUUUGUUUUUCAUUUCCAAGCACCUUUACAGGUGUUUAUAUAGACACACAAUAAAAUCUUAGAUAUCAAUUGGUUGAUUUCAUGCAUUUAUGUACCUCCCCUAAUUAUUAUAAGUGUAUCUUGCUAGUUUUACAUAAAUACCAAAGAUUUUAUUUUAGAAAAAAUUAUAUAUUUCAAUAUUAUGGCAUUUAAUGUUGAAGAUAACAUAUUGAGCCAAAAUAAAAUCUUUAGGUAUCGGCACUACAUUUAUGUCUCCAUUAUAAAAUAGUACCCAUACCGAUCUUGUUGGCUAUUUUGUAUCAUCCACACUUAUGUAAGUAUAUCUUACAUUUAUUUUACAUUAUUUUUUGUGUGGUAUAUUGUUUUAGUAUAUACAGAGGCUUGCACAAUCAAAUCUUAUGCAUUGAUGAAUCUUGCAUAUACGAGAUCUCAAAAAUAAAUAUUGCUGUUGUACUCCAUACUCAAGAAUAUUAGGUAUCAUUAUUGCACUUUUUCUGCUAAAUUAAUGUCAAUGUAUCUUACUGAGUCUUAAUAAAUAUCAUGCAAUCGUUUGUAUAUGUUAUAAUUAUUGAUAUUAUUUUUUGCGGCAUUUAUUGACCUCUAUUAUAUGGUGGCAUACAUAAUUAUUGAUAUUGCUUCUUUUCGCUUCAUUUGUAUUAUACAUUGUUAUAAAUUUUGCAUUUAUAUCCUAUCAACAAUAAAUAAAUGCUUGGACAAACGUAAGCUUGUACAUACUGACGACUAUGCAGCCCGUAUGUAGCAACACCAUUGUAGUAAACAUUUCAGAGUUUUUCCCGUUAUGCUUAUAAUCGGCUAUAAUAAUUGAUCUUUGAUGUUUCAUGCUUCAGGGUAUUUAUAAAAAUGUCCCCUGUUUUAUUGAACAAAUGGAAGGGCACAACAACCAAGAUCUUUCUUGUGGGUCUUGCAUAAUUGUAGACUGAUUACAUGGUUUCAUGCUUAUGCACAUCUUAUUAUUCCUAAGUUAAAGUAGGAUUUGCAGUGCUUUAUGCUUGAGUUGAUGUAUGUCAUCUGAAGUAGAAUGGAGCCUGAACCAAGUUGUAUGACUCAUUUUCACUAGGUGCACAUACUGCUGCUCUUCUAUAUGGAAUGUGAUACUGGGGUAUUAAUACUUAGUGUUGCUAUCUCAGAUAUUGCUAAAAAAAUCUCCGGUUUUGUAACUUGGUACGCUUUAGUGGUGCAAUACUUUUCAACUAUUUGCACCUUUUAUUUAAAAGCAUUGUAACCCGUUGACGCUGAAAAGUGGCACGAUCAUAAAGAGUAGCUUGAACUAUGUCAAGAUUAAUUCAAAAUUAUUGUUGAAUUCACUAUGGGAUGGAUCUCUUCGAGAAGAUCAAAAUGGAUAUGAAGAUGGUCUAAAACAGAGCCCGAAUGCAAAAGUUGUGACAAGUUCAAAGAUUGGAUAUAGUAUCGACCGUAUGGUCUCGAUAGCCGUACCGGGACUAAAGGUAUUGGGUUUUAGCGCCGACCCUAUAGUCCCGGUUCCCAGACCAGGACAAAUGGGCCUCAUGAACUGGGACAAAUGGGCCUUUUUCUACUAGUGCAUAUUGGUCCUGCCCAAUAAAUAUUUCAGAAAUUCAUAAUAAAUCCUAGAGGCUAGCUUGGACCAUUCACGCAUGUCAAUAGGUGGGACUAAAGUUUAGUCCUAUAUUGCUAGUUGAGAGAGAGUUACACCUCCUCAUAAGGUGAGCUCUUUCCCCACUUGUAUGAGCAUGAUAAAAAGAGAGGUUCUCACGCGCUCCUCCUCUGCCGCCUGCCUCGCCUCACCUUGCCUCAUCACGACACACUGCGUCACGCCACGGGCUGCGGGAAUGCCUAGAGCAUGCAUGAAGCUGAAGCGUUUUGCUGCUGUAGUUAGUGGAGAUUGGUUACGAGGUUUGUUGGGCUUUGGCUGCUACGUCUCCAUCUCCCGUCUCUUUGUUUCAUUUCCCGUCGCAGCCUAUUUGCCUCCUCUUUCUGUGCUUAUAAAAUAGAGGUCUCUCCUCUCCAUAGACACACAGAAACAGAGCAUCACUUGCCUCCUACUACCAAGUUCCAUAGCACUGCGCUACCAGGUUCUUCCUCAUCCCAGCUUACGGCGUGCACCGCUGAUAGGGGAGAAUGAACACGUCCUAUACAGCCUAUUUGCCUCCUCUUUCUGUGCUUAUAAAAUAGAGGUAUCUCCUCUCCAUAGACACACAGAAACAGAGCACCACUUGCCUCCUACUACCAUGUUCCAGAGCACUACGCUACCAGGUUCUUCUCCAUCCCGGCUUAUGGCGUGCAUCACCGAUAGGGACAGUAGGCCUCCGGAACCACGCGACAUUGAGUCAUGCACGGGUGAAGGGAAAUAAGGUGUUUGGGGAGCGCUCUGUGCGACUACUGGCUUCUCCACCCCAGAUGUCGCUACAGAUGUUGAAGACACUUUCCCCAAUGAUGAAUUCUUUUAGGACAUCGGCAACCUCUUCGGUAACAAGGGCGACAGCAUCGUGAAUGGUGCCGCCCCUGCUCCUGUCUAGGACGUGUUCAUUCUCCGCUAUUUAAUAUGUUUUUUCCUGAUUUUAGUUCAAUUUCCUGUUCUAGUAAUUGGACUAGAUAUGCCUUGUUCAAAUUCACUACUACAUAUGUUAUUUUCUCACUCUCUAUUAGACUACAUGUCUAGUUUAAUCUUUACUAUUAUGGUCAUGUUUUAUCUACUAUUUUUAUGUAUUAAAUCAUAUGGUAGACUGCUCAUAUUUCCAACACGCCCCAUGUACAUGUAUGGGUGUAACAAACACAUCCUAUGUGGUCAGUCUUCCUUCAUUAAAAUGUUCCAUGGCAAUCCAAUGAGAUUGAUGCCUCUAAUACCUAUGUUUAUAAGUUUAUUCAAUUAUUGGCAUCAGUAUACAGCAUUGCAUUGCAUAAGCUGAGAAACUUUGUGGCUCUCAUUUUAAUAUGGAACUGAAUUGUCUACAGCAGCACUGAAGAUGAUGCUGGUUGGUUUCACAUUCCAAUUGAUAAGGUGGACGAAAGCCUCUUUCUAAGCAGUCACUCUGGCACGACUCAUGAGUGCAACCCGCUAAAUCUCUGCAUGAGCGUCGUUGAACUACAAUGCAAUCCAUCACAUAAUAAAAAAAAUUAGUAAUACAGUCCAUAGAACAAAAAUAUUUGCUCAUAGAUUAAUUAAUUUCAACAUUUGGAAACAGCAUGUAAAAUAUAAAUAAUGUUGCUUACUUGCUUGGCAGGACGGCAACUUUGAGAACAUGAACACAAUGACCAAUAAGGCAACAGCUAUGUUGUACAUGACCAUCCUUGUGUUUCUCUUGAUGAGUGCCAUGAGGAAAAAUAUGACUUAUGUUCAAUCUUUGUUUUUCAUUUCCAAGCUCCUUUACAGGUGUUUAUAUAGACGCAC